CACUCAGUGAUCGCUUAGUAGGCCAGUUUGGGCCUUUAAGUGAAAAUACAGGGUUUCUCAGCCCCUGGCCUAUCCAGGGCAUCUCUCAUCAAAAGAACCAGAAAGAAGCCUUUAUGCAGUGAUUGCUUACAGCUCAGUAGGGUCCCCGCCAGCCUCAGGGGGAGGCUAACUUCCUCGUUAUUAGGGCUUCAUCUUUAUUUGUUUGAAAUUACCGUGAUGAUGAAAUGUGAGGGGAGGGGCACUGGAAACCACAUAAGCUAUGAGAUGAUCUGAGAUUUUGAGAUUAUUGCAGAAAUGAGUCUGAUUGAAGUACAUGACUGUAUACCUGCGUCCCAAGCUUAUUAAUCACAUUGAGAUACAGAAAUAUGCCACUCUUGGGCCACACACAUGUGUACAUAUACACACACAUAUAUUUGUAUGUAUCUUUUUCUUAAAAGGCUUAAAAAGUUGCUGAAACAGAGCAUUUUUAUGUUAGGGCUCUUGCUGGACUUGAAAUAGACCUGGCCUGGAUGGGCUUUUCUCUCUCCCUGCCUGGGGCCAGGCAGGCUCCCCUGGACUGGGAUGCGCCUGCACCUCCCCCACCUGGGACGGGAAGCCAGUAGCGGUUGUGCUGGGAAUCUUCGGCUCUCCAGUUGCCCUCAGGAGUCUCAGCAGGUCCCUAGAGCAAGCUGAAGGCUCUGGGCCACAGCUCACUAAAUAGCUCCCACGUUCUGUUCUGUUAGCACGGUGGUCGGUGGUUGCAGCAGGAAGGGGAGGGAGGCACGGGUGAAGGGAGGUGGGAAGUGACUGCUGGUGGCCCAGUCAGUGUUAGGUGCCAUUUAGGUGCUGACACUGGUGGCUGGGCUAUUCACAACAGGCCUCUGCAGAUUGUGUGAGGCUGCCUAGCAGAGCCCCCUGGGACUCGGGGAAUGUGACUCCCUUUCUGGUGAUUCUACCAGAUGGAGAUAUUUCAGAGACAUCACCUUAUAGGAGACAGAACCAACUGUAGAAGAGGGCCACAUACCUCCCCAACGCAGUGAAAGUCACAAGUCUGGAGGCAGUCAGAGCUGGGAAGAAACAGGUGCACAUGGUGUGAAACAGUCACUCAAAUUCCCACCCUCUCAGGCCACAGAAUGUGUAAGACCUGAAGUGCCAGGGUAUUUGCUUAUGCUGGGAGGGUCCUCCCUCCGAGGGGAGAGAGCUUUGAGGGUUACCCGAAGGGCAGAAGUGCUGAUGAACACUUGCGUUGAGUCACAAGCAUCUCUUGACCCGCAUCAUGUUCUGAGGUUUCUCCUUUGACCAUGGCCAGAGAUGCAGCCAUGUCCUAAGAAUGUUUGGGAUCCAGAUAGGCGCUGUCACCCAAAAGGCCUGCACUGGGCGGGGCGGGGUGCGGGGAGGAGACCGUAGGAUUUGGACAAAGCCCCUGGAAGCCCUUUUAAGCCCACUCCACAUGAGCAGCUUCUGGUGUCUCCCCAACCUGUCCCAUACACAGGUCUAUACCUUCUGACCCCCAGUGGGGUGGCAAGCGGCUAGCUGCUGUAGACUGCCAUGCCAGGAGCACACAUGACACCUCCUUCCCCAUGUUUAUGUCCCUUCAUCCCCAACAUAUAGUAUUUCCAUUAUCUUUUACCCUGCAUGGACUCUUGUGAUGAGAUGCAUUUCCAAGAAACCUCCUUUUCUCUUGGUGUUACAGGAAAGCGGCUCCUUGGAGUAUGGGGGAAAAUAGGGAGGAAGGACAUGGAAAGAUGGGAAAGGAGGGAGGGAGGAAGGAAGGAGGGAGGAAGAGAGGGAGGAAAAGGUAGGGGGAAGCUGGAAUCCAAUCUUUCUUCCUCGGGUAAUGGUUACUUUUUUAGGACUUUUUUUUUUUUUUUACAUUUCUUUAGUUUUUCUGCUCACCAUUCCUCCAGUUUUAACCCAAUGAAGCUGAUGACUUGCUAACUGACUCUUUAUAAGAGUGAAACUACUUGAAAUUCUCAGGUAAUUCAGAGCUUUGAGUGCAUAAAAUUUGUAAUUUUCCCUAAAGGGCUAACAAACUAUUCCCUUUGCUACUCUGUUAGCUGUGUCUGAGGACCUGAUUUGGAUGUAUAUUUGAGGAUUUAAGGGAAGCAGAGUCACAGACACCAUUAAUUUUGAGAUUCCAAUUGUUGACCUCCACUGAACAAAUGAUCAGACAUGCAUCUAUAGAAGGAAAGUUCUAGAACUUGGCACUUCCAAGCUGAUGGUAAGUGCCCUAGUCCCUCUUGUUUCAAUGAGGUGGGAGUUUGCUGCAGGAGCUUUAGUCCCUCCUGAAACCUGCCUUUGUAUCCUGCUGGGGACCUUGUCCUCUCUUCUGUAUGUAUCCCAUCUUCAUCAUUCGUUCCUCUGUUCUGCGAAGCAGCUCUGUGAGUAGAAUAUGGCUUCUGAAGCUCAGACCAUGCUUUCUUUACUCUUGAGUUUGCUGGUCUUAAAAAUAACUUACAGUGAACUAUAGGCUGAAGAUUAAGUUGACCAGCUGAACCUCCCAAAUACACAGGAUUAUGGCCACCUUGCUCUUCACAAAAUUCUCCACCUAAGGGAAUUUAAAUAAGCCUAUUUCCAGCCCCAUCUCUCAGGAGUAGGUCAGUAUGGAAGUGGCUUAGCUAGAGAAGGAGUGGGGAAGGGCUAAAGACAUACCCUCACCUUUUAUCACACCUGACCUGCAUACUUCUUACAUGAAACUGUGUUACAGGCCAAGGAGUGUCUUUAUGCAUUUGGCUGAUGACCUUGGCUGUGUAAUGAAUGGACCCCUUUGGAUAGAAAAAGAAGCUCUUAAAACAAAAUUUAAUUUCAUUAACUGAGCACCUGUUAUAUGCAAAACAGUCCUUGCCCAUGGGUGCUGCAAUAAGGGAGGAAAAGCAUUGAUCCAAACUGUGGAAGGUGUAAAGGCUAAGAAUGACAUUCCACCUAACAGAAUAGUGUAAAGACUUGCAGUAGGAAAUCAGUGUGACCUUGGGCCAACUAUUUAGCCUCUUCCAUCAUCAGUUUUUUUGUUUCCAAAAUGUUCCUUUCAGCUCUAACACACUCUGGUCACUAUGACUCAGCUGGAAACUCAAAGAACUCUAGUGAAAGGUAGGAUGAUAAAUUCACAGAGGCACAGGGCGAAUGCUGAGAGGCUCCAGCAGAGGGAGCACUUGACUCUAAAAGUAAAGGGGGACGUCUGAGCUGAGCCCAUCAGUAUUUCCCUUCUCCAGAGCUACAGACCAAAGCUCCUGGCUGCCGCAGAUUGCACCUGGCCCUUGGUCUCAUUUAGGGAGCAGUAAUAAUGGCAGAUUUAGGUUUCCUCUCUCUGCCCUCUGCCCUGGCUGGCAGCAGCAGGAGGACCUGGGGAGGCUGGAGGAAGGCAGCCCGCCCUGUCGCAGUAGCUCAGAACUGCGCUUUCCCAUCUAGACUCCACCUGCUGUAGCUUCUGGGACUGCAGUCAGGACAUUAGCGACCUUGGGUCAGCAGGAGGUGGGGACUUGGUGGUCAGCAAAGCAUUUCCUGUCCAGAAGGAAGUUCUAGGAACCUCUGGAAGGAACACAUGGGCAAAGACCACUCUCCUAAAACCACAGGCAGACAAACUCCCAGACACCCAGGUCUGUUACUGCAGGAGGUGGUGGGUGGAAAAUAGCAGGAAACAGGUCUCGGGGGCACGGGGGCAGGUGGUUUGACCUGGUGGCUUCUCUGUGUCCCACGAAGAUGCUAGAGGAGGCCCUUUCUGGCAAAAUUGGAAACGGAGGACUCUUCUAGCAAAAUUCUUUUGUUUGCUCCUGUUGUCCAUGCCCCCAACGUAGGUUUGGGUAAAUAAUUCAAAUUUCUGGAAGGUGGUAGGAAUAAUUCAUUUUUCUUCAUACUGAAUUAGGAGUAUUGUUUUCAGUAUAGAAAAGCAUCUGAAUUUGAACACCAACUUAAGACAAAACAAACAAACAAACCCAUCCAAUUGGAGGAACCAGAGGGAAAAGCAAUAAUUUAAUUUGAAUAAGCAUGCCACUGAGACUGCAAUGUUAGUCUCCUUGACCAGCCUCCUGUGUUGUUGCACUGAUCAGAGCUUGGAAAGAGGGGUCUCUGCAAGUGAGCCUUUUAAUCCUGGUCUCAGCCCACCCCCUCAACCCUGUCACCAUGAGCUUAGACAGCAGGUUCUGGGAGCCUUGCAGAUCACAACAGCAUGGCCAGUUGGUUUCCCUUCUUCCUACUCAGAUGGGACACGAGGGGAGGAGAAUGGCUGGUGAGGACGACUCGGCACCCCUCACCCCAUGUUCAGACCUUCCUGCAUCAAGGACAAGUUCCCCAUCCCCAGGUGGAGUGUGGCCCCCACCUGGAACGAGAAACAUAGGAAGGGGUAUUUCAAGGCCGGCAAGUCACUAAUAAAAAUUAAGAUUCCACUUACCACGCACUCUGCAGUCCUCGGCUGUCCUCUCCUCCUCUGGUUCGUCAGUGGCACAUGUCAUUCUUGGUGCUCCAAGUGGCCAGGACUUCCAGGUUUCUUGGCCAGAUUAUAAGGUGGAGUAAUUCUAAUCCAACACUCAUGGUUCUCAGCUCUCUGGACAGAUGCGCACAUUUCUGUGUUCUCACUAAUACAGACCUGGUGCUAUUUGUGGCUAACAGUGCCUACGGAUGUAAUUCCUACAUUUUCUCUUUUUUUCCUAAUGCAUUGCCACCAUGGAAUCGCAUUAGAAAGACAGAUGUCCAUGGAGGAUUUUCCAUAGCACAAGAUCUUUGUUCUUAUUCUAAAUUUUUUAGGAGGGCUUGGUUUCCAGUGUCUGAGUACCACCCCCCCCUUUAUUUUUAACAAUGGAAAUGUUUUCCUUUCCUAUUAGCCAAAAUGAAAUUUCAGUCAAAAGAACCACAUCAGGCUCUCGCUUCCCUCUCUCCCUGGUGAGUUGAAAUGGACAGAGGUACACAGGUUGGGAUCAUUUUUGAAUCAGUUGCUCCAGGGUUCUUGCUAGAGAUGAAAGACUUUUCUGUUCCUCCACCACAGUGAGGUCAGGGCAGUGACAACAAACAUUUAACUUCUCGAAACCUUGUGGUGCCUUUUCUUGUGGUGCUUCUCUCGUGUAACUCCAGACAAGGCAGCCACUUGCAGCAAACAGCAAUGCCAGUGCUUUUCCUUGGUAUUAUGUGCCAGUGCAGUAAAAGACUUUAAUGUAUACAUAUAUAAAUAGAUAUAGAUAUAGAGAUAUCACUAUAGUUAUAUAAUUAUAUAAUUGAGGUUCUGAUGCAGCUUUGGUGGGAGUUGAUCUUUCCUCUGCAAAAAUCGACACUACUCAACCGGAACUAAGAGCUCUGGGGAGAGUUUGGACUUCCGGGAAGGGCACCAGUGAAUGAGAUGGGUUACUCCUGUCACAGGUUUUCUUCUCCUCUCUUGUGAAAGUUGCUGUCUCCAUAACAUGAUGUGUUUGCUAAGGGAGCAAAGAGCAGCUUCUUUUGAACUUCCUUUGGUGCUGAUAUUUUAAAAUUUAUGUGUUUGUUUUGCUUCCUCAUCGGUGGCCAGUAAGCUGCUUUUCCAAAAUCUCAACUCACCGAUCAAAGGUGACAGGGGACAGUCUGGGAAUAAGAGGCUAGAGGUCAGGAAUCCCUGCCUCUUAAUCCAGAUAGUUUCCUCUGUGACCUGCACAUGUUUCCCAGACUCAGUCUCCCCAUCUAAAAGAGACAUUGUACUUCCUUACCUCAUGGGGAAGGGUGACCUGAAAGGAUUCAGCAGAGGCACGAAAAUACAAAGUCAUUAUUAAUCUGGAGACAGCAACUUGACAUGUGUUUAAGAUUUUGUUUGUAUGUUUUGCUAAGAUUUUGAUCUUGGGGUUUUGCUUUGUUCCUCUCUUGCUCCUCCAUCUCCACCAUGUGGUCCGUCCUCCCUUUGGCAAUACCUUUGAAAAUUGUGUAACUGACAGACGCAACCUAAAGGGUUGGGUAGUGCUAUUUCUCCCAUGGGAACAACAUCACUAAUACUGUAUAAGGUGCUAGAAUCAAACCUCAUUUUAUAAACUUUGGUUCUUAGAGAAAAACAAAACAUGCAGAAUUCUUUCUGUGAAGCCUUACUCUAGAUUGUUAUAGCCAAUUGUUUAUCCAAAAAGAGAGAGAGAGAAUAGAAAAUAAAGAUAAGAUGCAGUGAUUCUAUAUAAAAUGUAACUAAAAGAUCUUUGCUAUUUCCUAUAUUAAUGUAAACUAUCAUAUAUAUAUAUAUUUGUAUAUAUAUAUGCUUGAGGCAGAUAGAAAGAAUGAAACAAAAUGUAGAGUAUGUUCAUCUUUAUUUUAAUUUCCAGUCGGUUCACAACUUUUAGUAUGUGAGCAAGUGAGGAUGAUGGUAGGAUGGGAGGGGAUAAGGGAUUCCUGGUAUGAUAUAGGAAAUGACUCAUUUCUGUUCUGUUCUAUAUGUUAUUAGAAGGAAUUUGACUGAAUGAGGAGAAAGGGAAAUCAACGAAAACAUAAACGUGCUUUCUAAAUGUUCUGAACAUUGACAUUAUGCUUUGGUGUUGUUUCUUCUGUAUUCUAAGUUUCUGGAGAGCGCUGUAAAACAUGUCUGCUGCCUAAGGUGUUAACACAUAAUGUUUACCUCAAGAAAGC
This 6537-nucleotide long non-coding RNA is filed under the name Sus scrofa (pig). RNAcentral's name for it is "lncRNA (ENSSSCG00065047341.1)". Lineage: Eukaryota; Metazoa; Chordata; Mammalia; Artiodactyla; Suidae. The record is from RNAcentral.